Molecule: signal recognition particle RNA, 100 nt
Filed under: Anaerolineales bacterium
Lineage: Bacteria; Bacillati; Chloroflexota; Anaerolineae; Anaerolineales
Description: signal recognition particle sRNA small type
Rfam family: Bacterial small signal recognition particle RNA
About the family: The signal recognition particle (SRP) is a universally conserved ribonucleoprotein involved in the co-translational targeting of proteins to membranes.
Source: RNAcentral
GGGCGGGUCCGGCGCGGCGGAGAUCUUCGAACCGUGUCAGGUCCGAGAGGAAGCAGCACUAAGGAGUACCCUCUGGGUGCCGCCGGGAAGCCUGCCCGGA